Molecule: ribosomal RNA, 1505 nt
Filed under: Lactiplantibacillus argentoratensis
Lineage: Bacteria; Bacillati; Bacillota; Bacilli; Lactobacillales; Lactobacillaceae
Description: partial 16S ribosomal RNA
Rfam family: Bacterial small subunit ribosomal RNA
Source: RNAcentral
CUGGCUCAGGACGAACGCUGGCGGCGUGCCUAAUACAUGCAAGUCGAACGAACUCUGGUAUUGAUUGGUGCUUGCAUCAUGAUUUACAUUUGAGUGAGUGGCGAACUGGUGAGUAACACGUGGGAAACCUGCCCAGAAGCGGGGGAUAACACCUGGAAACAGAUGCUAAUACCGCAUAACAACUUGGACCGCAUGGUCCGAGCUUGAAAGAUGGCUUCGGCUAUCACUUUUGGAUGGUCCCGCGGCGUAUUAGCUAGAUGGUGGGGUAACGGCUCACCAUGGCAAUGAUACGUAGCCGACCUGAGAGGGUAAUCGGCCACAUUGGGACUGAGACACGGCCCAAACUCCUACGGGAGGCAGCAGUAGGGAAUCUUCCACAAUGGACGAAAGUCUGAUGGAGCAACGCCGCGUGAGUGAAGAAGGGUUUCGGCUCGUAAAACUCUGUUGUUAAAGAAGAACAUAUCUGAGAGUAACUGUUCAGGUCUUGACGGUAUUUAACCAGAAAGCCACGGCUAACUACGUGCCAGCAGCCGCGGUAAUACGUAGGUGGCAAGCGUUGUCCGGAUUUAUUGGGCGUAAAGCGAGCGCAGGCGGUUUUUUAAGUCUGAUGUGAAAGCCUUCGGCUCAACCGAAGAAGUGCAUCGGAAACUGGGAAACUUGAGUGCAGAAGAGGACAGUGGAACUCCAUGUGUAGCGGUGAAAUGCGUAGAUAUAUGGAAGAACACCAGUGGCGAAGGCGGCUGUCUGGUCUGUAACUGACGCUGAGGCUCGAAAGUAUGGGUAGCAAACAGGAUUAGAUACCCUGGUAGUCCAUACCGUAAACGAUGAAUGCUAAGUGUUGGAGGGUUUCCGCCCUUCAGUGCUGCAGCUAACGCAUUAAGCAUUCCGCCUGGGGAGUACGGCCGCAAGGCUGAAACUCAAAGGAAUUGACGGGGGCCCGCACAAGCGGUGGAGCAUGUGGUUUAAUUCGAAGCUACGCGAAGAACCUUACCAGGUCUUGACAUACUAUGCAAAUCUAAGAGAUUAGACGUUCCCUUCGGGGACAUGGAUACAGGUGGUGCAUGGUUGUCGUCAGCUCGUGUCGUGAGAUGUUGGGUUAAGUCCCGCAACGAGCGCAACCCUUAUUAUCAGUUGCCAGCAUUAAGUUGGGCACUCUGGUGAGACUGCCGGUGACAAACCGGAGGAAGGUGGGGAUGACGUCAAAUCAUCAUGCCCCUUAUGACCUGGGCUACACACGUGCUACAAUGGAUGGUACAACGAGUUGCGAACUCGCGAGAGUAAGCUAAUCUCUUAAAGCCAUUCUCAGUUCGGAUUGUAGGCUGCAACUCGCCUACAUGAAGUCGGAAUCGCUAGUAAUCGCGGAUCAGCAUGCCGCGGUGAAUACGUUCCCGGGCCUUGUACACACCGCCCGUCACACCAUGAGAGUUUGUAACACCCAAAGUCGGUGGGGUAACCUUUUAGGAACCAGCCGCCUAAGGUGGGACAGAUGAUUAGGGUGAAGUCGU